Molecule: transfer RNA, 105 nt
Filed under: Streptomyces violaceus subsp. violarus
Lineage: Bacteria; Bacillati; Actinomycetota; Actinomycetes; Kitasatosporales; Streptomycetaceae
Description: tRNA-OTHER
Rfam family: tRNA
About the family: Transfer RNA (tRNA) molecules are approximately 80 nucleotides in length.
Source: RNAcentral
GGAGGAUUGGCCGAGUGGUAAGGCACUGGCUCGCGCUGUGUUUGAUCAGAAGCGAGUCAUGGUCGGGCUGGAAGGCCCGCGCACGUUCGAUCCGUGCAUCCUCCG